UAGGGAAUCUUCGGCAAUGGGGGCAACCCUGACCGAGCAACGCCGCGUGAGUGAAGAAGGUUUUCGGAUCGUAAAGCUCUGUUGUAAGUCAAGAACGGGUGUGAGAGUGGAAAGUUCACACUGUGACGGUAGCUUACCAGAAAGGGACGGCUAACUACGUGCCAGCAGCCGCGGUAAUACGUAGGUCCCGAGCGUUGUCCGGAUUUAUUGGGCGUAAAGCGAGCGCAGGCGGUUUGAUAAGUCUGAAGUUAAAGGCUGUGGCUCAACCAUAGUUCGCUUUGGAAACUGUCAAACUUGAGUGCAGAAGGGGAGAGUGGAAUUCCAUGUGUAGCGGUGAAAUGCGUAGAUAUAUGGAGGAACACCGGUGGCGAAAGCGGCUCUCUGGUCUGUAACUGACGCUGAGGCUCGAAAGCGUGGGGAGCGAACAGGAUUAGAUACCCUGGUAGUCCACGCCGUAAACGAUGAGUGCUAGGUGUUGGAUCCUUUCCGAGAUUCAGUGCCGCAGCUAACGCAUUAAGCACUCCGCCUGGGGAGUACGACCGCAAGGUUG
RNAcentral lists this ribosomal RNA (550 nucleotides) under uncultured bacterium. RNAcentral's name for it is "bacterial SSU rRNA". It matches the Rfam family "Bacterial small subunit ribosomal RNA", at positions 355 to 896 of the family's 1533-position model. The record is from RNAcentral.